GCGGUUGUGGUCUAGCCUGGUCUAGGACUGAAGCUUCCCAAGCUUCUAACCCGGGUUCAAAUCCCGGCAGCCGCACCA
This 78-nucleotide transfer RNA is filed under the name Candidatus Bathyarchaeota archaeon. RNAcentral's name for it is "tRNA-Gly". It matches the Rfam family "tRNA". From Rfam's summary of the family: Transfer RNA (tRNA) molecules are approximately 80 nucleotides in length. Their secondary structure includes four short double-helical elements and three loops (D, anti-codon, and T loops). RNAcentral also lists the same sequence under 2 other names. The record is from RNAcentral. Lineage: Archaea; Thermoproteati; Candidatus Bathyarchaeota.